This 616-nucleotide ribosomal RNA is filed under the name uncultured organism. Its description in RNAcentral is "bacterial SSU rRNA". It matches the Rfam family "Bacterial small subunit ribosomal RNA", at positions 200 to 833 of the family's 1533-position model. The record is from RNAcentral.
GGUAAAGCUUUUGCGGUUUGGGAUGGGCCUGCGUCCUAUCAGGUAGUUGGUGAGGUAAAUGCUCACCAAGCCUAUGACGGGUAGCUGGUCUGAGAGGAUGGUCAGCCAGACUGGGACUGCGACACGGCCCAGACUCCUACGGGAGGCAGCAACUAGGAAUUGUGCGCAAUGGACGAAAGUCUGACGCCGCGACAUCGCGUGGAGGAUGAAGGUCUUCGGAUUGUAAACUCCUUUUCUUACCGAACAAGUUCUGAGUGUAGGUAAAGAAUAAGUGCCUGCUAACCACGUGCCAGAAGCAUCGGUAAUACGUGGGGCACGAGCGUUAUCCGGAUUUACUGGGCGUAAAGAGAAGCGUAGGCGGCUCAAUAAGUUUGGUGUUAAAUCUUCCGGCUCAACCGGAAACAAGCACCGAAAACUAUCGAGAUUGAGUCGAGUAGGGAAGAGGGGAAUUCCUGGUGGAGCGGUUAAAUGCGUGGAUAUCAGGAGGAAUACCAAGGGCGAAGGCACCUCUUUGGACUCGUACUGACGCUGAGGCUCGAAAGCGUGGGUAGCAAAACGGAUUAGAUACCCGUGUAGUCCACGCCGUAAACGAUCCCUGUUAGAUGUAUGUUUUGUC